CAAUAGCGUAUAUUAAAGUUGUUGCAGUUAAAAAGCUCGUAGUUGGAUUUCUGGUCUGAUGCCCUGGCCCGCGUCUUAUAGAUGUGUGUGCCGGCUGUGCGUCUGCCAUCCUUCUAGUAACCCUUCCUACCCUUCACUGGGCCGGGUUGGCGAUCUAGAUCUUUUACUUUGAAAAAUUAGAGUGUUUAAAGCAGGCUUUUGCUAUGAAUACAUUAGCAUGGAAUAAUAAUCUAGGACUUCGGUUCGUUAUUUUGUUUGGUUUCGUUAGUACUGAAGUAAUAGAUUGAUAGGGAGUAGUUGGGGGUUGGGCUAGUAUUGGUCCGGGCCCGACGAGGUGGAAAUUACUUUGGUA
RNAcentral lists this ribosomal RNA (352 nucleotides) under uncultured eukaryote. Its description in RNAcentral is "bacterial SSU rRNA". It matches the Rfam family "Eukaryotic small subunit ribosomal RNA", at positions 592 to 932 of the family's 1831-position model. The record is from RNAcentral.